This is a long non-coding RNA of Oncorhynchus masou masou (cherry salmon), 648 nucleotides long. RefSeq lists it as uncharacterized. Lineage: Eukaryota; Metazoa; Chordata; Actinopteri; Salmoniformes; Salmonidae. The transcript has 4 exons. The record is from RefSeq and is a predicted model, not a curated record.
AUUCAGACUCUGUUUCUAUUGAGAGAUAAAAGUUCUCUAAAAUGAUUCUCUUUGGGGAGAGAGAGGAGGGGGGCCCUGCCUCUAAAAUGAGACUCUCUGGGGAGAGAGUGGAGGCAGGACCUGACACCAAAGCUAAGAGUCCAAUCCAGCAGGAGAGACCAGCCUCCCUGUUCCCAGCUGUGUGUCCAUGAAGCGUAACCGGUCUAUUCGUCUACCUAUACUGUUUAGAGAGGGAGACUUUUCUACUGAAUAAAGGUUCACAGCCAGACAACCAUCAGGGUACGGCAGCCAUGGAAAACUCAAAGGACACUGGAUCUGGGAAAGAACCAAUAUCUGAAUCCAUAAAAAGGGGAAAACUGACACACACACAGGACUUUGCUUUAGCUCCCACCUCUACUUCACUGUGUUAUAAUGGACCUUAUGCUUGUUAUGUCACCUCUGUAACCAGGUAUCAAACAUACUGACCUUUCUGACCCUGUCCCAUGGCCCUACUUUCUAGAACUGAACAUUUAAAUUCCUCUGAGCUUUGCUUACUGUCCAUUUACUCAUUUAUUGAUUUAUUUGUUGUAUAUUGGGGUUGUGCCGCAGAGCAUCAUGGGGGUUUGUAUGUGUUGAGAUGAUCCCGUUCCAGAUAAAUGGUUUAACUGA